Molossus molossus (Pallas's mastiff bat) is the source of this 571-nucleotide long non-coding RNA. RefSeq lists it as uncharacterized. The transcript has 3 exons. The record is from RefSeq and is a predicted model, not a curated record. Lineage: Eukaryota; Metazoa; Chordata; Mammalia; Chiroptera; Molossidae.
CUAGACCUGAAGAACCAGAAUUUCACAUGUGGACUCUGAGGAUGUGUGAUUUGAGAAAGCUUUUCAAGUGAUACACAGCUGAGCUUGUAUCAGAUCGGCUACCAUCCUGAAGGACAAAGUAACUAUCUGGACCAGGAAGUUCAAGACCAACAGACUACUUCAGUGGAAAGAAAUGGUCACUGUUGUUCUUUACCUUGGGAAGAGAGCAAUAACCAAGACAGAAAUUUGGGAAAAACUAGUCAAAAUCUAUGUCAUUUUUGUGUUUGGAUUUAGAACCCAUUUUGGUGGUGGCAAGACAGCUGACUUUGGCAUGAUUUAUGAUUCCGUGGAUUAUAGAAAUAAAAAUAAACCCAAACAUAGACUUGCAAGACAUGGCCUGAAUGAGAAGGCCUCAAGACAGCAGAGAAAGGAACACAAGAACAGAAUGAAGACAAUCAGGAGACUGCAAAGACCAGUGUUGGCGUCGGCAAAAAAAGGUGAGGAAAAGUCAUGAUGGCAAGUUGCCUGUGGAAGCUCUACUUCUUUGGCCUGGAAUGUUGACCAUUCUCUCCGCUUUUCCAGAAGAGUACAC